This 102-nucleotide small RNA is filed under the name Alteromonadaceae bacterium. Its description in RNAcentral is "t44 RNA". It matches the Rfam family "t44 RNA". From Rfam's summary of the family: This family consists of a number of bacterial RNA genes of between 135 and 170 bases in length. The t44 gene is found between the map and rpsB genes in all species in the full alignment apart from Shigella flexneri. Lineage: Bacteria; Pseudomonadati; Pseudomonadota; Gammaproteobacteria; Alteromonadales; Alteromonadaceae. The record is from RNAcentral.
AAUUAAAUUUAAUUAAAACACACAUAUACCAACACUGCGUAUCGGGGUGUUCUACUUAUUUACUUAGGUGGGAUCGAUACAAUGGGUAUAUGGAGGCCUAAC